AAUUAUGCAAAUCUGCUUGGAAUACAGCAAAACCUCCUCCAUGCUUCUUCUAUUUGAUUUCUGAAAAACCCUUCAAUUUUCCCUCAAAACUCCAUCCUUCAAUUCAAUUAAGUUUUUCUCUUUCCAUAACCCAUUCAUAUACUGCAUCCUUCAUUCCUUGAUUUCAUUCUCCACACAUUGAAGGUUCGUCAAAAUCCUGCAUCUUCCAUUCAUAGUUUUUCUUUAAUUUCUAAAAUCAUUAUCAAGUUGCAAAUCAAAAGAUUCAACAAUUUCGGUAAAGACGCAAAAGCACUUCGAUUCAUAGAAUAAAUGACUCAAAAGGCCGGUGUCCUUCAAUAAAGGGUAUUGGGUAUAUGCACGCCGUUAAAAUAUAUAUUGUACUGUUACAUGUUGUUACAGUUUUUUAUUAAUGUUGAUCGUGUUUUCUUGAUGGAUUUGUGUUGCUGUCUUGAUAUUGGAGAGUUAUUUUUCCAAGUUGCUGUCAUGAAUUUUAAUCCAGAACUUUCAUCAAUAUUAUAGCAAGUUUGAAUUACUUUAGGAAAAUUUCCCAGGUUUAAUGUUCAAUUUAUUUUCGAUCGAAGAGAUGGAGCAAGGGGAAGACGGAAGAUAUUGUCUUAUCUAAGAGUUUUGAGUUCCCAAAUUACUUAUAUUUUUCAACAUUGAUUGUUACCCAUAUGUUUUUCCUCUGUAGACAUUGUUUAAAAAAGUUAUGGUUUUUUUUUUAAGGAAAGAGUUGGACUUUACAUAGUGGUGUGCAUUGUUCUUGCUAAAUUAAUUUAUUAAUUAAUAAUGUU
This is a long non-coding RNA of Vicia villosa (hairy vetch), 794 nucleotides long. RefSeq lists it as uncharacterized. The record is from RefSeq and is a predicted model, not a curated record. The transcript has 4 exons. NCBI's taxonomy places the organism in Eukaryota, Viridiplantae, Streptophyta, Magnoliopsida, Fabales, Fabaceae.